RNAcentral lists this ribosomal RNA (239 nucleotides) under uncultured Lactobacillus sp. Its description in RNAcentral is "partial 16S ribosomal RNA". It matches the Rfam family "Bacterial small subunit ribosomal RNA", at positions 123 to 354 of the family's 1533-position model. The record is from RNAcentral. Lineage: Bacteria; Bacillati; Bacillota; Bacilli; Lactobacillales; Lactobacillaceae.
AACCUGCCCAAGAGAUCGGGAUAACACCUGGAAACAGAUGCUAAUACCGGAUAACAACAGAUGAUGCCUAUCAACUGUUUAAAAGAUGGUUCUGCUAUCACUCUUGGAUGGACCUGCGGUGCAUUAGCCAGUUGGUAGGGUAACGGCCUACCAAGGCGAUGAUGCAUAGCCGAGUUGAGAGACUGAUCGGCCACAUUGGGACUGAGACACGGCCCAAACUCCUACGGGAGGCAGCAGGU